ACGAACGCUGGCGGCGUGCCUAAUACAUGCAAGUUGAGCGAUGAAGAUUGGUGCUUUCACCACUUUGAAGAUCAGCGAACGGGUUAGUAACUCGUUGGGAAUCUGCCUUUUAGCUGGGGACAACAUUUGGAAACGAAUGCUAAUACCGCAUAACAACUUUAAACAUUAUUUUUAAGUUUUAAAUAUGCAAUUUCAUCACUCAAAGAUGAUCCCUCGUUGUAUUAGCUAGUUGGUGUGGUAAAGGCUCACCAAGGCGAUGAUACAUAGCCGACCUGAGAGGGUGAUCGGCCAAAUUGGGACUGAGACACGGCCAAAACAACUACGGGAGGCAGCAGUAGGGAAUCUUAGGCAAUGGACGAAAGUAUGACAGAGCAACGCCGAGUGAGUGAAGAAGGUGUUCGGAUCGUAAAACUCUGUUGGUAGAGAAGAACGUUGGUGAGAGUGGAAAGCUAAUCAAGUGACGGAAAAAAAAAAGAAAGGGACGGCUAACUACGU
RNAcentral lists this ribosomal RNA (495 nucleotides) under uncultured bacterium. Its description in RNAcentral is "partial 16S ribosomal RNA". It matches the Rfam family "Bacterial small subunit ribosomal RNA", at positions 30 to 506 of the family's 1533-position model. The record is from RNAcentral.